RNAcentral lists this ribosomal RNA (167 nucleotides) under Bipolaris stenospila. RNAcentral's name for it is "5.8S ribosomal RNA". It matches the Rfam family "5.8S ribosomal RNA". Rfam says of the family: 5.8S ribosomal RNA (5.8S rRNA) is a component of the large subunit of the eukaryotic ribosome. It is transcribed by RNA polymerase I as part of the 45S precursor that also contains 18S and 28S rRNA. Lineage: Eukaryota; Fungi; Ascomycota; Dothideomycetes; Pleosporales; Pleosporaceae. The record is from RNAcentral.
UAAUUAUUACAACUUUCAACAACGGAUCUCUUGGUUCUGGCAUCGAUGAAGAACGCAGCGAAAUGCGAUACGUAGUGUGAAUUGCAGAAUUCAGUGAAUCAUCGAAUCUUUGAACGCACAUUGCGCCCUUUGGUAUUCCAAAGGGCAUGCCUGUUCGAGCGUCAUUU